AUGUUUCCGGCGGAGGCGUCGUUCGCCGGCGCGGAAGCGGCCAUGCUGCCGCCCUUCUUCGUGGGCUCCAUGUGGCAGUCGGCGCCAGGCGGCGGCGCGGCUGCCUUGUCCGAGGAGGACGAGGUAGCCGCCGCUGCGGCUGCCGAGGCAGCGCACGACCGCGCGGUGGCGGCGACGCGGAACCACCGCGAGGCCGAGAAGCGCCGCCGCGAGCGGAUCAAGUCGCACCUCGACCGCCUCCGCGCCGUCCUCGCCUGCGACCCCAAGAUAGACAAGGCAACGCUGCUGGCCAAGGCGGUGGAGAGGGUGCGGGAGCUGAAGCAGCGCAUGGACGGCGUCGUUGGCGAGGCGGCGGCGCCGGCGAGCCACCUGUUCCCCACGGAGCACGACGAGAUCGUGGUGCUCGCGUCGGGAGGCGGCGCCGGCGGCGCGGCGGCCGUGUUUGAGGCCUCCGUCUGCUGCGACGACCGCUCCGACCUCCUCCCGGGCCUCAUCGACACGCUGCGCGCGCUCCGCCUCCGCACGCUCCGCGCCGAGAUGGCCACCCUCGGCGGCCGCGUCCGCAACGUGCUCGUCCUCGCGCGCGACGCCGGAGGACACGCCGACGACGACUACUCCACAUCCUCCGAGGACGGCGGCGCCGACUUCCUCAAGGAGGCCCUGAGGGCCCUCGUGGAGAGGCAGGGGGCUGCCGCCGGCGACCGGCCCAAGAGGAGACGCGUCGCCGACAUGAACAUGCAAGCGGCUGCUUAA
Molecule: ribosomal RNA, 753 nt
Filed under: Triticum aestivum (bread wheat)
Lineage: Eukaryota; Viridiplantae; Streptophyta; Magnoliopsida; Poales; Poaceae
Description: partial small subunit ribosomal RNA
Source: RNAcentral